CUGGGUCAAUAGGGAUUGAAGGUGGGCUCACAGUGAUUGGGGGGCUACCACCUCCAUAAGUUGGUGGUGAGUUGUAGUACCCACCACCUCCUGAGGGAGGAUUUGAUGGUGUUGAAGGGGUUGAUGGUGUCGUCGGGACUGAGGGCGUUGGAGUAGAGGGUUCUUGUGGUGGAGUUCCACAAUUGCUACCAUCAGGUGGCGAUGGGGUUGGAUUGUAACUUCCACCACCCUCAGGUGGCGAUGGGGUUGGAUCAUAGCUUCCACCACCUGGGGGAGUUGAUGGGGUUGGAUUGUAAUAUCCACCACCUGAGGGUGGUGAUGGGUUUGGGUCAUAACUUCCACCACCAGGGGGAGUUGAUGGAGUUGGAUUGUAACUUCCACCAUCAGGGGGAGUUGAUGGGGUUGGAUUGUAACUUCCACCAUCAGGGGGAGUUGAUGGGGUUGGAUUGUAACUUCCACUUCCACCACCGUCUGAGGGUGGUGAUGGGGUUGGGUCAUAGCUUCCACCACCUGGAGGAGUUGAUGGAGUUGGAUUGUAACUUCCAUCACCACCUGGGGGAGUUGAUGGGGUUGGAUUGUAACUUCCACUUCCACCACCUGAGGGUGGUGAUGGAGUUGGAUCAUAGCUUCCACCACCUGGGGGAGUGCAUGGGGUUGGAGUGGAACUUCCUCCACCUCCAUGCGAUGGGGAUCCAUGAUGUGAUGGGGAUCCAUGAUGUGAUGGAGUUCCAUGAUGAG
RNAcentral lists this long non-coding RNA (738 nucleotides) under Vigna radiata. RNAcentral describes it as "long non-coding RNA (VRAD_LNC004393)". The record is from RNAcentral. Lineage: Eukaryota; Viridiplantae; Streptophyta; Magnoliopsida; Fabales; Fabaceae.